UGUUCCCUGCAGUGCUCGUGAUGCGCGACUGAUGCUCGAACCGAUACAAAAUAAACGGGGGUCGUCUCGUCCCGACCUGGUGCAUGCCUUCCUCGCAAGAGAGAAGGACGCCGACGGAAAGGCAGAUUGCUCCCACCUGAACCGAUUCGGUUCAGCGUAAGUCGGGUCACACGGCACACGGUGGGGAACGU
RNAcentral lists this non-coding RNA (191 nucleotides) under Archangium gephyra. RNAcentral describes it as "6S RNA". It matches the Rfam family "6S / SsrS RNA". Rfam says of the family: E. coli 6S RNA was the first non coding RNA to be sequenced, but its function was unknown until recently. It consists of 184 nucleotides that fold into an extended hairpin structure with a large single-stranded internal bulge. The record is from RNAcentral. Lineage: Bacteria; Pseudomonadati; Myxococcota; Myxococcia; Myxococcales; Archangiaceae.